AGUGAACGCUGGCGGUAGGCCUAACACAUGCAAGUCGAACGGCAGCACAGUAAGAGCUUGCUCUUACGGGUGGCGAGUGGCGGACGGGUGAGGAAUACAUCGGAAUCUACUUUUUCGUGGGGGAUAACGUAGGGAAACUUACGCUAAUACCGCAUACGACCUACGGGUGAAAGCAGGGGAUCUUCGGACCUUGCGCGAUUGAAUGAGCCGAUGUCGGAUUAGCUAGUUGGCGGGGUAAAGGCCCACCAAGGCGACGAUCCGUAGCUGGUCUGAGAGGAUGAGCAGCCACACUGGAACUGAGACACGGUCCAGACUCCUACGGGAGGCAGCAGUGGGGAAUAUUGGACAAUGGGCGAAAGCCUGAUCCAGCCAUACCGCGUGGGUGAAGAAGGCCUUCGGGUUGUAAGGCCCUUUUGUUGGGAAAGAAAAGCAGCAGGUUAAUACCCCGCUGUUCUGACGGUACCCAAAGAAUAAGCACCGGCUAACUUCGUG
Molecule: ribosomal RNA, 492 nt
Filed under: uncultured bacterium
Lineage: Bacteria
Description: partial 16S ribosomal RNA
Rfam family: Bacterial small subunit ribosomal RNA
Source: RNAcentral